CCUGAACCAGCCAUGCCGCGUGCAGGAAGAAGGCCUUCUGGGUUGUAAACUGCUUUUGCCAGGGGCAUAAAAAGCCCUUGCGAGGGAAAUUGAAGGUACCUGGNGAAUAAGCCACGGCUAACUACGUGCCAGCAGCCGCGGUAAUACGUAGGUGGCAAGCGUUGUCCGGAUUUAUUGGGUUUAAAGGGUGCGUAGGCGGCCCUGUAAGUCAGUGGUGAAAUGUUCCGGCUUAACCGGAAAGGUGCCAAUGAUACUGCGGGGCUUGAGUACAGAUGAGGUAGGCGGAAUUGACGGUGUAGCGGUGAAAUGCUUAGAUAUCGUCAAGAACACCUAUAGCGAAGGCAGCUUACUGGGCUGUAACUGACGCUGAUGCACGAAAGUGUGGGGAUCAAACAGGAUUAGAUACCCUGGUAGUCCACACUGUAAACGUUGAUUACUCGCUGUGUGCGAUACACAGCACGCGGCUUAGCGAAAGCGAUAAGUAAUCCACCUGGGGAGUACGCC
This 504-nucleotide ribosomal RNA is filed under the name uncultured Bacteroidota bacterium. RNAcentral's name for it is "bacterial SSU rRNA". It matches the Rfam family "Bacterial small subunit ribosomal RNA", at positions 382 to 886 of the family's 1533-position model. Lineage: Bacteria; Pseudomonadati; Bacteroidota. The record is from RNAcentral.